This 1510-nucleotide ribosomal RNA is filed under the name Chloroflexota bacterium. RNAcentral describes it as "bacterial SSU rRNA". It matches the Rfam family "Bacterial small subunit ribosomal RNA". The record is from RNAcentral. Lineage: Bacteria; Bacillati; Chloroflexota.
GGAUGGCGAGUUUGAUCCUGGCUCAGGAUAAACGCUGGCGGCGUGCCUAACACAUGCAAGUCGAACGCGCUCCCCUCCUUCGGGAAGGGAGCGAGUGGCGGACGGGUGAGUAAGACGUGGGUCACCUACCUUUCAGUGAGGGAUACCGGCGAGAAAUCGCCGACAAUCCCGCAUACGCUUGGCGCUCUGGAACGAGCGCCAAGCAAAGCUCUGCAAAGGGCGCUGGGAGAUGGGCCCGCGGCCGAUUAGCUGGUUGGUGGGGUAAAAGCUCACCAAGGCGACGAUCGGUAGCUGGUCUGAGAGGACGAUCAGCCACACUGGGAUUGAGAACGGCCCAGACUCCUACGGGGGGCAGCAGUGAGGAAUUUUCGGCAAUGGACGCAAGUCUGACCGAGCAACGCCGCGUGCAGGAGGAAGGUCUUCGGAUCGUAAACUGCUUUUCUCUGGGACGAGGACGGACGGUACCAGAGGAACAAGCCCCGGCUAACUACGUGCCAGCAGCCGCGGUAAUACGUAGGGGGCGAGCGUUGUCCGGAGUUACUGGGCGUAAAGCGCACGCAGGCGGUGCUGCGCGUUUGGGGUUACAGCUCCCGGCUCAACCGGGAGAGCGCCUCGAAGACGGCAGCACUUGAGGGCCAGAGAGGGACACGGAACUCCGGGUGGAGUGGUGAAAUGCGUAGAUAUCCGGAAGAACACCAAAGGCGAAGGCAGUGUCCUGGCUGGUACCUGACGCUCAGGUGCGAAAGCUAGGGGAGCGAACGGGAUUAGAUACCCCGGUAGUCCUAGCCGUAAACGAUGACCACUAGGUGUGCGGGGUAUCGACCCCCUGCGUGCCGCAGCCAACGCAAUAAGUGGUCCGCCUGGGGAGUACGGUCGCAAGAUUAAAACUCAAAGGAAUUGACGGGGACCCGCACAAGCAGCGGAGCGUGUGGUUUAAUUCGAAGCAACGCGAAGAACCUUACCAGGGCUUGACAUGCCGCUGCACCUCCUGGAGACAGGAGUCCCUUCGGGGCGGCGGCACAGGUGCUGCAUGGCUGUCGUCAGCUCGUGCCGUGAGGUGUUGGGUUAAGUCCCGCAACGAGCGCAACCCCUGUCGUCGGUUGGAUCUCUCCGACGAGACUGCCGCGAUCAACGUGGAGGAAGGUGGGGAUGACGUCAAGUCAGCACGGCCCUUACGUCCUGGGCGACACACACGCUACAAUGGUCGGGACAGAGGGAAGCCAACCCGCGAGGGGGAGCCAAUCCCAGCAAAGCCGAUCUCAGUUCGGAUUGGAGGCUGAAACCCGCCUCCAUGAAGGUGGAGUUGCUAGUAACCGUGAGUCAGCCACAUCACGGUGAAUACGUUCCCGGGUCUUGUACACACCGCCCGUCACACCACGAAAGUCGGCAACACCUGAAGCCGCUGGGCUAACCCGAGAGGGAGGCAGGCGUCGAGGGUGGGGUCGGUGAUUGGGGUGAAGUCGUAACAAGGUAGCCGUACCGGAAGGUGCGGCUGGAUCACCUCCUUUCU